Amphimedon queenslandica is the source of this 210-nucleotide long non-coding RNA. RefSeq lists it as uncharacterized. The transcript has 3 exons. NCBI's taxonomy places the organism in Eukaryota, Metazoa, Porifera, Demospongiae, Haplosclerida, Niphatidae. The record is from RefSeq and is a predicted model, not a curated record.
CGCCCUCAGCACCCCCCUUCCCCAGUUCCUAGAUACGCCCCUGAUGAUGGUACUAUACUCCCAAUAGAUAUCAGUGAAGAGUUAAUGGAGAGAUGUCUUUAUACUGGUACAUGUACACCACCUGAUCUUGUCAUUAGAACAUGAGGAGAAGUGAGAUUAAGUGACUUCCUUAUAUGGCAGAGCUCUUAUUCUUGUCUCUGUUUUCAAGAU